This is a long non-coding RNA of Oryza sativa Japonica Group (Japanese rice), 1183 nucleotides long. RefSeq lists it as uncharacterized. The record is from RefSeq and is a predicted model, not a curated record. NCBI's taxonomy places the organism in Eukaryota, Viridiplantae, Streptophyta, Magnoliopsida, Poales, Poaceae.
UCUAGGAAUCCCCUCUUCCCCAACCCCCGCUGCCCCCAUCCCCCGUCCCCUCCUCCAUAUCACCCUCGUUGAGUCAUCGUCCUGGACUCCGACGAGCUUCCAUCGCCGCACAUGGAGGCCCUGUUGGCUGCGGCGGCUGCGUGAAGCCUCCCGUAUCAAGAGUUGCCUCCGCUCACAGACACCGGCGAGCUAUCACGGGCCAGCAAACAAGUUAUACCGCCCCAUUCGCCAUUCUUGAGCUUCUUGAAGUGCAGUUUUUCAUCCAUGCCGUGAGCGGACGCCGGCGAGCCGAGACAAAGAAACAGCACGUGCUUCGUGAGCGGACACCGGCGAGACGACACGAGCUGAGCCGAGGCAACAAUACGUUAAGGUCUUUGAGAAGAGUGGUUUACACCAACGGAUCCAUGCAACUGUGCUAGCAGAAGCUGAGUAGCCCAUAGGCCAUGGCGGCGACGAAGACUGUUUUUUUUUUUUGUCAUGGAAAAACUCACACCCCUUUUCUAUUCUUUUUUAUAAAAAUUAAUGAUUAUAAUUAAGACCAAAAGAGCCAAUUUUUGGGAUGAGGAAAAUUGGUUCAAACUUAAAGGAGGUCUUGUUUUAUCUGAGCUCUGGGCUUCGCGGAGUACAUCUGUACCUGCUUUCUCUGCUAGCAAAGGAGGAUAGCAAGAUGAAGUUGGUAGAGGAGACUUCAAACCAAAUACCUCUUGCUUCUUUUUGGAUGUAACUUCAUCUAAGUUUUCCGAUAUUUUUCCUCUCUCGAAUACUUUUAAUAGCAAGAAUGUAUAGAAAAGCUGAAUAAGAUACAAAAAUUUGGGGACACUAUGGACACACUGCAGAAAGUUGCAAACUUUGUCAUUUGACUAGCUUUUGUUCAGGUAGGAGGAACUAGGAUGUACUGAUGAUUGAACAAGCAGCUGCAAUAGCUACUCCAAUGGUAUGGGAUGUUAAGCUCGACCAUUUGAGGUGUCAGCCUAGCAUGUUUUUUUUGUAAAGUGUAUUGGCACACUAUGGCUGUUGUAUAGUAUGCACUUAUCUGAAAAAGUGACAUUUUUGGAGUACAUUAGAACAACAAUGGGGCAGCGCACAGAUGUAAGCUGUUCGAAAUUCACAAUCUUACGUUUCAUGGAUUAAUGUCAAUGUUCCAGUGCCAAUCUUUUUUGUGGCAGUGGAUGUUGGAAUUUUA